CGCGAUUAUUUUCGGUGAUUAUCCGGCGGAGUAUAACCCGAAGAUCCACGGACCUUACGAUCCGUCCGUUACUACGGCAAG
Molecule: long non-coding RNA, 81 nt
Filed under: Aedes aegypti (yellow fever mosquito)
Lineage: Eukaryota; Metazoa; Arthropoda; Insecta; Diptera; Culicidae
Description: lncRNA AAEL019299
Rfam family: Sphinx_ conserved region 1
Source: RNAcentral